UGAAGGGGCCUGCAGGCAGAAAUGAAGACGGCUCAGAGGUAUCUGGAAGUACUGAGCACCAGAUGGAAAAAUUGGUGUAUUCUCGCACAAACAGACAACAGUUUGGAUAUAGAAAUGGAACUAAUAUCUUGGCCAAGGUUGCAUCCUACCAAGUGCUGAAGAGGUGUUCAAAAUGAAGAAUUUCUGAAUCUACAAAUCAAGUGAUUUUUUUCACUAAAUGAUAGCUACUUC
Macaca mulatta (Rhesus monkey) is the source of this 231-nucleotide non-coding RNA. Lineage: Eukaryota; Metazoa; Chordata; Mammalia; Primates; Cercopithecidae. The record is from RefSeq and is a predicted model, not a curated record.